GACCUAGUGGUGAAUGGAUCACACCUGUUCUUUCUGCAAAGUUUCUGUAGAACUAGUACAACAGGAGACCCCGGUUCGAUUCCGGGCUAGAUUA
Non-coding RNA from Mycena latifolia, 94 nucleotides. The record is from the annotation of a GenBank genome assembly. Lineage: Eukaryota; Fungi; Basidiomycota; Agaricomycetes; Agaricales; Mycenaceae.